UGAACGCUGGCGGCAUGCCUUACACAUGCAAGUCGAACGGCAGCGCGGGCUUCGGCCUGGCGGCGAGUGGCGGACGGGUGAGUAAUGCAUCGGAACGUGCCCAGGAGUGGGGGAUAACGUAGCGAAAGUUACGCUAAUACCGCAUACGUACUGAGGUAGAAAGCGGGGGAUCGAAAGACCUCGCGCUCAUGGAGCGGCCGAUGUCGGAUUAGCUAGUUGGUGGGGUAAAAGCUCACCAAGGCGACGAUCCGUAGCUGGUCUGAGAGGACGACCAGCCACACUGGGACUGAGACACGGCCCAGACUCCUACGGGAGGCAGCAGUGGGGAAUCUUGGACAAUGGGGGAAACCCUGAUCCAGCAAUGCCGCGUGUGGGAUGAAGGCCCUCGGGUUGUAAACCACUUUUGGCAGGAAGAAAUCGCCUGUGCUAAUACCACGGGCGGAUGACGGUACCUGCAGAAUAAGCACCGGCUAACUACGCGCCAGCA
RNAcentral lists this ribosomal RNA (487 nucleotides) under uncultured bacterium. RNAcentral's name for it is "bacterial SSU rRNA". It matches the Rfam family "Bacterial small subunit ribosomal RNA", at positions 30 to 513 of the family's 1533-position model. The record is from RNAcentral.